Clupea harengus (Atlantic herring) is the source of this 214-nucleotide long non-coding RNA. RefSeq lists it as uncharacterized. Lineage: Eukaryota; Metazoa; Chordata; Actinopteri; Clupeiformes; Clupeidae. The transcript is spliced from 3 exons. The record is from RefSeq and is a predicted model, not a curated record.
CAGGCAGGCAUGCGGUGUGGUCACAGUCGCAUCAGCAGCGCUCGCCCCGGUAGGAUGGCGCUCGCCAAACCGAACUCGCACCUUAUUCAAUUGCAGACCCCUUCCUGUUAGCGUUUGCUCACAUGACAGCAAAUGGAUUCUGCUGGCUGCUGCUGGCAUAAGCAUCAGAAAUAGUUUCGAGCUUGCAGCUAAAGAAUGGAACUGGCAGUGUGAG